This 549-nucleotide unclassified non-coding RNA is filed under the name Hevea brasiliensis (rubber tree). The record is from RNAcentral. Lineage: Eukaryota; Viridiplantae; Streptophyta; Magnoliopsida; Malpighiales; Euphorbiaceae.
GCAAAUUAUUUUGCAUUUGUUGAUAUGGGUGUCGUCUGUUUAACAAUUGUGAGUGACAAUGCGGCUGCUCUGGGUGGUCGUAGCGGCGGCGGACCGGCGAUUAUCUUGGGGAAUUUUCAGCAGCAGAAUUUUUAUAUGGAGUAUGAUUUGGAUAACGAAAGAUUCGGAUUUAAACAACAAAGUUGUGCGUGAGCUGGUUUUGUCUAUUCACUAAAUAAAUCACAUUAAUCAUAUCGGACAUCAUAAUUAGAGGGUUUUAAUGUUGUUUACAUUGACUCUGCAAUAAAGGGUUGAAGGAUAGAUUGCGGCGGCGACUGCGGCGGCAACGGUAACGUAGAAUGUUGAUAUAGUGGCCAUUGGCUGUGGCUGCAGCAAUUGGUAAAGGUGGCCAAAUAUUGAUCUAUGUUUUAUUUUUCCCUACAAUCAUUAUUGGAAAAGUUGAAUAUAUAAUUAUAGGUUUUUUAAGCAAAGGAUUUGUUCAUCAUUGUUAAUCGUCAUUUUAAGGAAACACCUUUUAGAAAGGAUAAUUUAAUGCUUAAUAAUUCAAUU